RNAcentral lists this ribosomal RNA (37 nucleotides) under Acacia rhetinocarpa. RNAcentral's name for it is "partial 18S ribosomal RNA". The record is from RNAcentral. Lineage: Eukaryota; Viridiplantae; Streptophyta; Magnoliopsida; Fabales; Fabaceae.
GGUUGAUCCUGCCAGUAGUCAUAUGCUUGUCUCAAAU